Molecule: non-coding RNA, 125 nt
Organism: Triticum aestivum (bread wheat)
Lineage: Eukaryota; Viridiplantae; Streptophyta; Magnoliopsida; Poales; Poaceae
Source: Rfam
UAUAUACUCCCUCCGUCCGAAAAUACUUGUCGGACAAAUGGAUGUAUGUAGAUGUAUUUUAGUUGUAGAUACAUCUAUUUUUAUUCAUUUCUUCGACAAGUAUUUUGAGACGGAGGGAGUAUAUG